ACUAAAAAAAUAAUAAUAUUACACUAGACGUAAUUGCAAAUCUAACGUAAAAUACAAGCAUGUAAAUUCAAAACAUGCGUAACAUUAUGUGUUCUUGAACGCAAAUGGAUUAGUUUUCUUGUGCAUUCACGGACACAUAAUUUUACAUCUAAGGAAUCGUAAUAUUCGCGCACUCUUGAUGCACAUACCUAGAGCGUGUUAUUUGAUGUAAUUUUCAAGCAAAUCAGACCCAAUUUUAUUUGUUCUCAGAUAUUUCACUUGACCGUGCAGCGAAACGUCAGCCAUGUUGAAUUUAGCUGACGGAUGGUGCGCUUGAGAACAAAUUUCAUUUUCGCGAAACCUUUGAAAAAGCAGUAACUAUCUUUCACUGAGUAUCAGGGGAACGUUAAAAACAUUGUAAAAGGUGCGCGUGUUUUGUUUCGCCAGCUUUUCCAUCAUUUGGUACAGCUCCGGAUCUCAACCUGCGCGAAGGUUGGCGGAAGAAAAAGCUCAGUUCUUGGCUUAAACGGUCAGUGUCCAUUGCGGAUCCGACGGAAUUUGACCAGCAAAGGCGAUCUGAUGAAGUUUCCCGGCCAACAUCAAAACACAACAAGGCACAGCGUGUCGUCGAAUCGAUUGAGGUGACCACUAGUAGCUGGAACCGGUGUCUGAAAACAAUGGGGGAUGUGACUG
Molecule: long non-coding RNA, 672 nt
Organism: Culex pipiens pallens (northern house mosquito)
Lineage: Eukaryota; Metazoa; Arthropoda; Insecta; Diptera; Culicidae
Exons: 2
Source: RefSeq, a predicted model, not a curated record